UUUAAAAUAUAGUUGAAACAAAUAGGAAUCCCUUUUAUUUCCAAUCUCAUCUCAUGUUUCCAUAAUGGAGAUACUGGGAUUAAAGAUGAUUAUAAAGUGAAUGUAGAUUUGUGAGAAGUAGGCUAUCAUGAGAAAUGCUGGGGGUGUGGAGCCCUUGCAAACACUUCCCAGGAUCCGAAAGCAGAAAGGAUAGAGGAAAGGCAUUAGACUAAGCCAUGAGAGUCAUGGCAGGAAGAGGAUUUGAAGAAUGAAGCUUGCAGCACUCUUGUUGAAAGACUGAAGGCUGGAAACUCUGGAGGAACAGGGACAUGGCCUAUCUUGUUCAUGUGCCUCGAUCAGUGCUAAGCACAGAAUGGACAUUCAAUAAAUGCUA
This 373-nucleotide long non-coding RNA is filed under the name Homo sapiens (human). RNAcentral's name for it is "HSALNT0013229". The record is from RNAcentral. Lineage: Eukaryota; Metazoa; Chordata; Mammalia; Primates; Hominidae.